Molecule: ribosomal RNA, 253 nt
Filed under: uncultured bacterium
Lineage: Bacteria
Description: partial 16S ribosomal RNA
Rfam family: Bacterial small subunit ribosomal RNA
Source: RNAcentral
UACGGAGGGUGCAAGCGUUAUCCGGAUUCACUGGGUUUAAAGGGUGCGUAGGUGGUGAGGUAAGUCGGAUGUGAAAUCUCCGGGCUCAACCCGGAAACUGCAUUGGAAACUACCUUGCUUGAGGAUUUGAGGGGGGAUUGGAAUACUUGGUGUAGCAGUGAAAUGCGUAGAUAUCAAGUGGAACACCAGUGGCGAAGGCGAAUCCCUGGAAAAUACCUGACACUGAGGCACGAAAGCUAGGGGAGCAAACAGG